Molecule: long non-coding RNA, 713 nt
Organism: Hemicordylus capensis (graceful crag lizard)
Lineage: Eukaryota; Metazoa; Chordata; Lepidosauria; Squamata; Cordylidae
Exons: 3
Source: RefSeq, a predicted model, not a curated record
UACAAGUCAGAGGCAAAGUUUGACACUCAAUCUACUCUCUCCGCCUAGGAAGAAAGAAAACCCCACAGAAAAGAUUCCCUUGAAAUCCCUCCCACCUCUCUUUGCAGAGCAGUCAAGCCAAAGAGGAACCUACCUGGAUGCUGGGUUUGCGCCAGGCUCAGGGCACGCAACGUAAAGCCACCAUCCGAAGAGUGGCCGCAACCCGGGCUCCAGCAAAGCAGCGCAGCAAGAGCCGCAAUCACGGGGCGCACCGGCGCAGAUUUUCUGUUGGACAAGCUUAACUAAUCAGGCACUGGAGUAUGCCCAACCCUAUUGGAUCAACAACCUUGUGCAAGGAACCCAAAUUAGCUUAUCUCAGCAGAAGGUCAACCUCACACCAUCAGAAAGAGAAUGUUAUCUCUCAGGCAAAUCAUACAUAAACUCAGGUAUCUGCUUCUACUACUCCUUUCACUUUCAUUUGGCUUCUGACAAGCAAUAGAAUAGCAUAACAGCUUAGAUGUGUAUUCAUGGGGAAGAGCUCUGAAUCAUAAUUUGAGUCAGCAACUUGACUGACUUUUAUCUUCCAUGCACAGUGAUUCUGCAUUUUCUCAAUCUGGUCAAAGCCAGAGAUCAUCCACUGUUACAAUGCAACCAAAUGUGGUGCAAACACCUGUGACCAAAUGGUAUCCACCUACACCUACAAGAAAAUUGUUCAGCACUGCCCAAUGAUAUCA